GAUAUAUUACAACGUAAUACUGAUUCUCAGGUACAUGCUCGUGGUAACCAUGCUUUUACUAAAAGGCCUGACGAUUUUCUUGAAGUGCCAAAGAACUCUCAGUUGGCUUAUUGUUCAAAUUCUGAGAAUUCAAGUCUUCUUCCACAAUGGCGAAAUCCAACGUUGAGAACAAGGAGAAUGAAACAGAUGAACAAGUGGCUCGAUUAACAAAGAAAAGCCAGGAAGUUCUGCAUCUUAAAGACGAGUUUAAAACUGCGAAUGAUUUGAAAAAAAAUCAUUCUUUGACAACAUCUUUGCAAUCAGGGCGAUAUUUUUAAUCAUAUUGUUUUGCCGUAAUGUACAAUCCCUUCCUUUUCCUUUUUAUGCACAGACAAGCAAGCAGUUUAAACCUGUUGCACAAUUCACGUUUCCCCAAAAAAAAUUCUUGGAAAUCGUGACGUAAAUUUUGUGGAAAAACGUCGGAAACAAUUGGAAAAUUACUUGAGAAAAUUGAUCAAUUAUAGUCUGGGUGCUGUUCCAGAGUUAGGUGAAAAUCCUUGCAAGAGUUCUUUGUUCAAAUACUUUCCAUUUUUCAUGCAAACUUCAACGGUAUCAUCUGUUUCAACGACGACAACAACAAAACAAACUGUUCCUUCUACACAUAAUGGUUAAAAGGUAAAACUUGUAGGAUGUCUGUCAAAAAAAACAGAGCAUGGAAAUUGUAUAACUUUUAUUGUAUAUAUAUAACAUACGUAUAGUUCAGUAUAUGUAAAUAUAAUAUGUCUACAAAGUAGAAGAAUUUACUGAUGCAUCAACUUCAAGGACUCUUUAUUGUAUGUGUUAUAUACAGAUAUAAUUUGCCAGUAUUUGCUACUAUAUAAUAGUACAUCAUACUGGGUUUUAACAAGUUAAAACAUAAUAUUUAACUUGAAAUGAAAGCAAUCGUAUUUUAAAUACAUCACACGAAACCUA
This is a long non-coding RNA of Xenia sp. Carnegie-2017, 951 nucleotides long. RefSeq lists it as uncharacterized. The transcript has 2 exons. The record is from RefSeq and is a predicted model, not a curated record. Lineage: Eukaryota; Metazoa; Cnidaria; Anthozoa; Malacalcyonacea; Xeniidae.